RNAcentral lists this ribosomal RNA (468 nucleotides) under uncultured bacterium. RNAcentral's name for it is "partial 16S ribosomal RNA". It matches the Rfam family "Bacterial small subunit ribosomal RNA", at positions 28 to 507 of the family's 1533-position model. The record is from RNAcentral.
GACGAACGCUGGCGGCGUGCUUAACACAUGCAAGUCGAACGGAAAGGCCCUGCUUUUGUGGGGUGCUCGAGUGGCGAACGGGUGAGUAACACGUGAGUAACCUGCCCUGGACUUUGGGAUAACUUCAGGAAACUGGGGCUAAUACCGGAUAGGAGCUCCUGCUGCAUGGUGGGGGUUGGAAAGUUUCGGCGGUGGGGGAUGGACUCGCGGCUUAUCAGCUUGUUGGUGGGGUAGUGGCUUACCAAGGCUUUGACGGGUAGCCGGCCUGAGAGGGUGACCGGCCACAUUGGGACUGAGAUACGGCCCAGACUCCUACGGGAGGCAGCAGUGGGGAAUAUUGCACAAUGGGCGGAAGCCUGAUGCAGAAACGCCGCGUGCGGGAUGACGGCCUUCGGGUUGUAAACCGCUUUCGCCUGUGACGAAGCGUGAGUGACGGUAAUGGGUAAAGAAGCACCGGCUAACUACGUG